AGCGAACUUAACUAAAUGAAUGCGGUGCUUGCACCAAGUGAUUUUAGACCGGUGAGCGGCGGAUGGGUGAGUAACACGUGGGUAACCUGCCUCUAAGCAGGGGAUAACAUUUGGAAACAGAUGCUAAUACCGUAUAAAUCCUAAAACCACAUGGUUUUAGGCUGAAAGGCGGCUUCGGCUGUCACUUAGAGAUGGACCCGCGGCGUAUUAGCUAGUUGGUGAGGUAAUGGCUCACCAAGGCAAUGAUACGUAGCCGAACUGAGAGGUUGAUCGGCCACAUUGGGACUGAGACACGGCCCAAACUCCUACGGGAGGCAGCAGUAGGGAAUCUUCCACAAUGGACGCAAGUCUGAUGGAGCAACGCCGCGUGAGUGAAGAAGGCUUUCGGGUCGUAAAACUCUGUUGUUGAAGAAGAACACGUUUGAGAGUAACUGUUCAGACGUUGACGGUAUUCAACCAGAAAGCCACGGCUAACUACGUGCCAGCAGCCGCGGUAAUACGUAGGUGGCAAGCGUUAUCCGGAUUUAUUGGGCGUAAAGCGAGCGCAGGCGGUUUUUUAAGUCUGAUGUGAAAGCCCUCGGCUUAACCGAGGAAGUGCAUCGGAAACUGGGAAACUUGAAUGCUGAAGAGGACAGUGGAACUCCAUGUGUAGCGGUGAAAUGCGUAGAUAUAUGGAAGAACACCAGUGGCGAAGGCGGCUGUCUGGUCAGUUAUUGACGCUGAGGCUCGAAAGCAUGGGUAGCGAACAGGAUUAGAUACCCUGGUAGUCCAUGCCGUAAACGAUGAAUACUAGGUGUUGGAGGGUUUCCGCCCUUCAGUGCCGCAGCUAACGCAUUAAGUAUUCCGCCU
This 849-nucleotide ribosomal RNA is filed under the name uncultured bacterium. Its description in RNAcentral is "bacterial SSU rRNA". It matches the Rfam family "Bacterial small subunit ribosomal RNA", at positions 41 to 874 of the family's 1533-position model. The record is from RNAcentral.